RNAcentral lists this ribosomal RNA (453 nucleotides) under uncultured Pelotomaculum sp. RNAcentral's name for it is "bacterial SSU rRNA". It matches the Rfam family "Bacterial small subunit ribosomal RNA", at positions 925 to 1382 of the family's 1533-position model. Lineage: Bacteria; Bacillati; Bacillota; Clostridia; Eubacteriales; Desulfotomaculaceae. The record is from RNAcentral.
ACAAGCAGCGGAGCAUGUGGCUUAAUUCGACGCAACGCGAAGAACUUACCAAGGCUUGACAUGCAGGGAAAAGCGGCGGAAACGUCGUGGUCCGAAAGGGCUCUGCACAGGUGGUGCAUGGUUGUCGUCAGCUCGUGUCGUGAGAUGUUGGGUUAAGUCCCGCAACGAGCGCAACCCCUACGUUUAGUUGCUAACGCGUGAAGGCGAGCACUCUAGACGAACUGCCGUUGACAAAACGGAGGAAGUGGGAUGACGUCAAGUCAUCAUGCCCCUUAUGUUCUGGGCUACACACGUGCUACAAUGGCCGGUACAGACGGACGCAAAGCCGCGAGGUGGAGCAAAUCCUAAAAAGCCGGUCUCAGUUCGGAUUGCAGGCUGCAAUUCGCCUGCAUGAAGUCGGAAUCGCUAGUAAUCGCAGGUCAGCAUACUGCGGUGAAUACGUUCCCGGGCCUU